Molecule: ribosomal RNA, 235 nt
Filed under: uncultured Staphylococcus sp.
Lineage: Bacteria; Bacillati; Bacillota; Bacilli; Caryophanales; Staphylococcaceae
Description: partial 16S ribosomal RNA
Rfam family: Bacterial small subunit ribosomal RNA
Source: RNAcentral
GGUGAGUAACACGUGGAUAACCUACCUAUAAGACUGGGAUAACUUCGGGAAACCGGAGCUAAUACCGGAUAAUAUAUUGAACCGCAUGGUUCAAUAGUGAAAGACGGUUUUGCUGUCACUUAUAGAUGGAUCCGCGCCGCAUUAGCUAGUUGGUAAGGUAACGGCAUACCAAGGCAACGAUGCGUAGCCGACCUGAGAGGGUGAUCGGCCACACUGGAACUGAGACACGGUCCAG